Podarcis lilfordi (Lilford's wall lizard) is the source of this 87-nucleotide non-coding RNA. Lineage: Eukaryota; Metazoa; Chordata; Lepidosauria; Squamata; Lacertidae. The record is from the annotation of a GenBank genome assembly.
UGUAUGUCUGUGUGUGUAUAUAUGUGUGUAUGUGUAUACAUACAUCUCUGUGUGUAUACAUACACACAUAUACACACUAUAUAUGUG